CCUACGGGUGGCUGCAGUCGAGAAUCAUUCACAAUGGGGGAAACCCUGAUGGUGCGACGCCGCGUGGGGGAAUGAAGGUCUUCUGAUUGUAAACCCCUGUCAUGUGGGAGCAAAUUAAAAUGAUAGUACCACAAGAGGCAGAGACGGCUAACUCUGUGACAGCAGCCGCGGUAAUACAGAGGUCUCAAGCGUUGUUCGGAAUCACUGGGCGUAACGCGAGCGUAGGCGGGUUAGUAAGUCGUGUGUGAAAGGCGCGGGCUCAACCCUGGAACGGCACAUGAUACUGCGUGACUAGAGUAAGGGAGGGGGAACCGGAAUUCUCGGUGUAGCAGUGAAAUGCGUAGAUA
RNAcentral lists this ribosomal RNA (347 nucleotides) under uncultured bacterium. RNAcentral describes it as "partial 16S ribosomal RNA". It matches the Rfam family "Bacterial small subunit ribosomal RNA", at positions 338 to 696 of the family's 1533-position model. The record is from RNAcentral.